UACGUAGGUGGCGAGCGUUAUCCGGAAUUACUGGGCGUAAAGCGCUUGUGGGCGGCUUCGUAAGUUGGGCGUGAAAGCCCCGGGCUUACCCCGGAGAGGCCGUCCAAUACUGCGGAGCUCGAGGGUGCCAGAGGAAGGUGGAAUUCCUGGUGCAGCGGUGAAAUGCGUAGAUAUCAGGAGGAACACCCGUGGCGAAGGCGGCUUUCUGGGGCAUUCCUGACGCUGAGAAGCGAAAGCUAGGGGAGCACACAGG
This 253-nucleotide ribosomal RNA is filed under the name uncultured bacterium. RNAcentral describes it as "partial 16S ribosomal RNA". It matches the Rfam family "Bacterial small subunit ribosomal RNA", at positions 524 to 776 of the family's 1533-position model. The record is from RNAcentral.